RNAcentral lists this transfer RNA (74 nucleotides) under Triticum aestivum (bread wheat). It matches the Rfam family "tRNA". Rfam says of the family: Transfer RNA (tRNA) molecules are approximately 80 nucleotides in length. Their secondary structure includes four short double-helical elements and three loops (D, anti-codon, and T loops). The record is from Rfam by way of RNAcentral. RNAcentral also lists the same sequence under 1 other name. Lineage: Eukaryota; Viridiplantae; Streptophyta; Magnoliopsida; Poales; Poaceae.
UCUGGAAUAGCUCAGUUGGCUAGAGCGUGUGGCUCUUAACCACAAGGUCAGAUGUUCGAGCCUUCGUUCUAGUG